This 77-nucleotide transfer RNA is filed under the name Duganella sp. CF402. Its description in RNAcentral is "tRNA_Pro_CGG". It matches the Rfam family "tRNA". Rfam says of the family: Transfer RNA (tRNA) molecules are approximately 80 nucleotides in length. Their secondary structure includes four short double-helical elements and three loops (D, anti-codon, and T loops). The record is from RNAcentral. Lineage: Bacteria; Pseudomonadati; Pseudomonadota; Betaproteobacteria; Burkholderiales; Oxalobacteraceae.
CGGGGCGUAGCUUAGUCCGGUAAAGCGCCACGUUCGGGACGUGGAGACCGGAGGUUCGAAUCCUCUCGCCCCGACCA